RNAcentral lists this ribosomal RNA (521 nucleotides) under Chrysochroa sp. 2 TH-2010. Its description in RNAcentral is "partial 16S ribosomal RNA". It matches the Rfam family "Bacterial large subunit ribosomal RNA", at positions 1812 to 2603 of the family's 2925-position model. The record is from RNAcentral. Lineage: Eukaryota; Metazoa; Arthropoda; Insecta; Coleoptera; Buprestidae.
AAAACAUGUCCUUUUGAUUAUAAUUUAAGGUCUGGCCUGCUCAAUGAGGUUUUAAAUAGCCGCGAUAACUUGAUCGUGCGAAGGUAGCAUAAUCAUUAGUUUUUUAAUUGAAAACUGGAAUGAAGGGUUGGACGAGAAUGGGGCUGUCUCAAGUUUAUUAAAUUGGAAUUUUAUUUCUAGGUUAAAAAGCCUAGAUUUAUCUUAAAGACGAGAAGACCCUAUAGAGUUUUAUAUUUUUAUAUAAUAAGUGUUUUUGGUAUUAAAUUUACUUUUUAGUUUAAAAGUAUUUAGUUGGGGUGAUUGAAUAAAUGAUUGAACUUCUUUUUUUUAUGCCACUGAUUUGUGAUUUGAUGAUCCACUAUUUGUGAUUAAAAGAUUAAAUUACCUUAGGGAUAACAGCGUAAUUCUUUUUGAGAGUUCUUAUCGAAAAUGGAGUUUGCGACCUCGAUGUUGGAUUAAAGUUAAUUUUUGGCGUAGAAGUUAGAAUAUUUGGUCUGUUCGACCAUUAAAACUUUACAUGA